Molecule: ribosomal RNA, 460 nt
Filed under: uncultured Treponema sp.
Lineage: Bacteria; Pseudomonadati; Spirochaetota; Spirochaetia; Treponematales; Treponemataceae
Description: partial 16S ribosomal RNA
Rfam family: Bacterial small subunit ribosomal RNA
Source: RNAcentral
ACGGAAGGCAGCAGCUAAGAAUAUUCCGCAAUGGACGAAAGUCUGACGGAGCGACGCCGCGUGGAUGAUGAAGGUCGGAAGAUUGUAAAAUCCUUUUAAGUAUGAAGAAUAAGCCGGAGAGUGGAAAGCUCCGGUGGUGACCGUAGUACUUGAAUAAGCAACGGCUAAUUACGUGCCAGCAGCCGCGGUAACACGUAAGUUGCGAGCGUUGUUCGGAAUUAUUGGGCGUAAAGGGCAUGUAGGCGGUUUUGCAAGCUUGGUGUGAAAGGCAGGAGCUUAACUCCUGGACUGCGUUGAGAACUGCAAAACUAGAGUCACUGAGGGGCAAUCAGAAUUCCAGGUGUAGGGGUGAAAUCUGUAGAUAUCUGGAAGAAUACCAAUGGCGAAGGCAGGUUACCAGCAGAUGACUGACGCUGAGGUGCGAAGGUGCGGGGAGCAAACAGGAUUAGAUACCCUGGUA